This 7909-nucleotide long non-coding RNA is filed under the name Homo sapiens (human). RNAcentral describes it as "HSALNT0258717". The record is from RNAcentral. Lineage: Eukaryota; Metazoa; Chordata; Mammalia; Primates; Hominidae.
GCAUGGUGCUCGCUCCCACUGACCUGCGCCCACUGUCUGGCACUCCCUAGUGAGAUGAACCCGGUACCUCAGCUGGAAAUGCAGAAAUCACCCGUCUUCUGCGUCGCUCACGCUGGGAGCUGUAGACUGGAGCUGUAGACAGGAGCUGUUCCUAUUCGGGCAUCUUGGCUCCUCCUUGACAAGCUUGAAGGUGAGCACCUCGAAGGGCUUCUUUUUAUGUUGAAAGGCACGGGUUUGCAUGGCGGUUCAUCAGAGGUCAAUACCCCAGUUUGAGAAAGUCCACUGUGGGGAGGAAAGAGAGACUUAAACAAGCCCUGGAAAAACAAAGAAUGGAACACCCCUCCGCUGACUUCAACCAACUGCCUGCUGAUGCGGCCUGACUCCCAGCCCUUUUUGCAGUUUUGAAGUGACAAACUGACUAGGCUACAAAGUAUUCAACCAUGGGCUGGUUCUGGCUGGUUCACCGAGGCUGUGUACAAAGUGUCUUCAUGUCCUGUGUUUCACCUUUUAACAUACAGAACCUAAUUUUACUGCAUUUUAAUGUUAAUUCUCCACUCGAAGGCAGCCGCCACAGAGGACACCAGAUCAUGCCAACACCCCCACAACUCCUGCCCGCCUGCAGGCAGCUCUGGGCUCAGGACACCGCCUGCAAGAACCUUUAUAGCGCAGCUCUCCAAACCUUGGAGGCGAGGACAUUCUAUGUGCCCGCCCUGGAAAGGCCUGAACCUAUAACAUCUGGGCUGUGAUGGUUUCUGAGGUGGACACCAGGACCAACACUUGUCAGCAUGGCACAAUCAGGCAUUUCUCUUCUAAGUAGGAUGUGCAGCCAAAAACUCAGCUGUCUGUGAGCUGUCUUCUCCCAGGAACGAGGACAUAAGAUGUACAUCAGGUUUUGAUAUUAGAGUAAUACUGGCCUUAUAGAAUGAGUUACGAAAAGUUGCCCCUUUCUCCACUUUCUGAAAGAGUUUGUGUAACACAGGUCUGAACUGCACAGAUCCACUUACAUGUGGAUUUUCUUCCACUGCGGCCUCUCCUGAGACAGCAAGACCAACCCCUCCUUUUCAUCCUCCUCCUCCUCCUCAGCCUACUCAACAUGAAAAUGACAAGGAUGAAACCUUUAUGAUGAUCCACUCAUCCAUUUUCUUUUCUCUAGCUUAUUGUGAACAUCUUAGGCUAGUGUGUCGACUUCUGACUUGGCUCAUCUGAACCCAAGUCCUUGGACACAUUCACAAACACCCCAGGGUCUUGGGCUUCCAGUUUGUGCUAGAAGGACAAAGGGCAGGUGAAGCUUGUUUGCCGUAACUAGAAGGAGCAGAAACUGCUCCCAGCAGAACAAGAUCAAAUCAUGGGGAACAGUGGUCACCUGCCAUUUCUAGAGGAAGCUUUUGCUUUUGGUCACUGAGGACCCUAAGUCUUACAUGAGAAGAAAACAAAUAGGGUGAUGCUGCAUGCUUCUGUCCCCAAAGAAUCCCUGUGCAGGUGCCGAGGGUGCCCCAAAGACGAGGCUGUGCUUGCCGUGCCCACCACAGAAGCACAUUUGACCUGAUCAAAAGCAGGUGGAAAAGGUCCUGAAGCACAGAUAUUUUCUCAGUGAUGUUGUUUUCUCCAAAAUGAAAGAGGGAAGGUACCCUGGCUUAGGCCCCUGGUGUUCUGAUUGAAGGUGAGAAUGGAAGUAUCUUCUUCAACAUGUUCUCCCAUCUGACUGCAACAAGUGUGCUCCAGCCACCAGUGUCCCAGUUGCUCUGAAUGAUGGUGAGAAGGGUACCCAAACACUUGAAUGGUACUGUACCCUCUACUUGCCAUCUGAAUCCUCACUUGUGGAACCCAGGCACUCUGGCUGUAUUCGCGAGUAAGCAUAGGUGUGGGACUGUGUCCUGCCAUUGCACCAUCUUUAAUCUGGACUUGUGGACCUCAGGCUCUCUGACUAUUCAUGGACAGAAGUUUCUGCAGGCACAGGUGGGGUGCUGUUUCCUCCCAUUGUACACCUGAAUUCAGGACUUGUGGACCCCAGGUGUUCUGGCUGUGUUCAUGAACAGAAGUGUCCCCCCCAAACAAACCCAUAUAUGGUGCCAUCUCCUCCCAUUACAGGUAUGGUGCCAUCUCCUCCCAUUGCAGGCAUUGCACUGCCUAUACUCUGGACUUAUGGCCCUCACAUGCUCUGAUUGUAUUCAUAAACAGUAGUUUCUUCAGUCACAGAUAUGGCACCAGCCCCUCCAACAGAAACAGAUGUGCUCAAGCUGAGUGGUCCAAAGGCGUUUGACAGAAGUCAUGAACAGAAGUAUCUUGGGGCACAUGUUUCUUCUCUGUUGUGCAGGCUUCUCCAGCAGUAACAGGUUUGCCCAGGCCAUAUGGGCCCCAAGCGCUCUGACCAGACACAAGAAGAGAAGACUUGCAGUCACAGGUAGUGUGUUGUCCCCUGCUACUGCAACAUAGGUGCUUGGAAAGGUGCAACAGGGUGCUCUGCUUGUGGUGGAAACAUAAAGGCCUCCAAGCAUAGAUGUGCUGCUUUCUCCUUCCCUUUGAGGGAUGCAGAUGUGCUCUGGCCAGCUGCAUUCCAGGUGGUCUGUCUGCAAGACAGAAGUGUCCCAAGCACUGGUAUGUGCGGGCUCCUCCAACCACAACAGACGUGCUUUGGCCAGAUGGUUUCCAGGUGUUAUGAACACAAGAAGGAACAGAGGUGCCUUCUGGAACAUGUUUCUUCUCAGUGAUGUUCUAAGAGGUGUGCUUUGGCAGGACAGGCCCCAGCUGCUCUGACUGUAGGCAGGGAGGAAAGUGUUUCCCAGGAGUUUUUGCUUUCAGUAGUACUGCCCUCUCCAACUGUACCAGAGGUGCUGUAGGCUUGCAGGAACCCCGGUGCUCAUGUGUAAGCCUCCCCAACAUAAACUAAGGUGCUGCAUGCCCCUCUAGGCCCUGUUCUAAAGCUGAGUGCUUCAGAUGUGGAGCUGGGUCUGGGGCAGACACACUGGUCCUAGAGCUGUCAUUAUCCAAAGAAGCCCCAGAGUCCAUGAAUGGAAAUGGGUCGAGAGAGGGGUUAGCAAAAGGUGAACUGUGCCUGAUGCUGAGCAUCCAGUGAUGGCUCCAGAGCUAGAAGUAGUGGCUGUGCAAAUGGGAAAAGGACCCGAGGUGCCACCCAAGGCUGAGUGGGUGCUAGCAGAGAUAUCAAAGAUGGAUAUGGAGGUAACACGUACGCAAAAUCUGAUGGCAUUAUGCUCCCAUUGGGUGUCUGGGCUGCAGUAAAGGCUCAGUUUAGAGCUUGUAUUGAGAUUUUACGUUUCUCAAAGGGUAAAUGCUAUCAAAUACAUUGGGGGAUCCUGCCAGGGGGAGGCUAGAAAGAGGACAUGGUAACCAUAUUGAUUUCAUCAGAGUUAAAGGCAGACUUGGCUGCCCAGUUGGUCAAGGUCCUAGCUACUAGAAAACAGACAAUUGCUGAAGUAGUGAUAAGUAUGAUGGUGCAGACAGGUAUCCUAGAAGACUGACUCUUUGCUGCUGCCCUUUAGGAGCUCCAAAUGUGACUGAGAGGUGGCUUCUGGGCUAAAGGAAAGGUUCAAAGUGGGGUAGGGCUGUUUACCAUAAACAUAGGUGGGUUAGUGGGGACUGCCUUUUGCAGGGGGCUGUCCACUCCACACUGCAAUGAGCCAGUCAAAUGGGAGUUCCAAGACCAGAGGAAACCUAGCCCAGAGCUUGAGUCUUCCAGGCUAACCCUGGGUCCUGGGGGGACCAGGAGAUGAGACCCAGGGAAUAGUAGUGUCCAUGUCGGUCAUCUCAAAGGUUCAAAGCAGGCUGGGAGGUCAAGUCUGCAGAUGGGCUGACUGGGCAGUGGAAGUGAUAAGGUUGGCCAGUUAAUGAUGGGUUGAUAUAUUCAUCUGUUUUCACACUGCUAUGAAGAACUAUGUGGGGCUGGGUAAUUUAUAAACAAAAGAGGUUUAAUUAACUCACAGUUCCACAUGGCUGGGAGGCCACAGGAAACUUACAAUCAUGGCAGAAGGCAAAGGGGAAGCAAGGCAUGUCGUACUUGGUGGCAGGAGAGAGUGCAGAGGAAACUGCCACUUAUAAACCGUCAGAUCUCAUGAGAAUUCCCUCACUAUCAUGAGAACAGCAUGGGGGAGACCACCCCUACAAUCCAGUCACCUCCCACCAAGUCCCUCCCUCCACACAUGGGAAUUACAAUUCAGAUUACAAUUCAAAAUGAGAUUUGGGUGGGGACAUAGAGCCAAACCAUAUCAGUUAGUCAGUGAAGACUGAGGUAUCUGUAGAAGUGAGGGAGGAGCACAGUGGUCUGGAUGAACCAGUGGGGUGAUAGUCAGGGGACUGGCAUUCAGUGAGGCUGGGGGAGAAGCUUCCUAAAAGCAUUGCCCUUGAAAAGCAGGGCAUACCUAUCUGAUACUGAGGAUGUAGAAUGCAGUUUGGAGAUGCUUCCUAGCUACCUAAUCUUCCAAGGCAAACCAUGCACUCUUCAUCCUGAUAUUUGUGAUGCCUCCCUGGGCUACAUGACAGAGGGUGCACUGCAAAGGAUGUGAAGGAAAGUCACCACAGGGCAAAGGUGGAAACCCAGGGGCCUUUCCCCAGUGAGACUUUCUGGCUGUUCCUUUGGAACUUCCACCUGCUAGUUGCAGAUGUUUGCCACUGGAUGGGGCCCCAUGCUACGUGGGAACUGUUCAGGACUGUGGGUACUUAGUUCCAGCAGAGCUGGCUCCACCAGGGCACCAGGACUGCAGGCUUCUCAACUCCUGGCCUGGAGAGGCAGCUUCAGCAACCAGUGCCUGGGAAUCCACUAGCCCUUUCUCUGUGAGUCACGUGAGGGCAGAAUCUGCUCAAAGUCAGAGGGCUGGAGCAACCUGGAUUGUGCCAGAGUGAGGGCCCAGCUCACUGGAGGUCAGAGUAAGAGAGUCAAGGAUGGGAAGAAACAGGGUUUUGCUCAGUCUUGCAGAUACUGAGGCACUCAGGAGGCUCAGGAUGGCAGCAACAGGGCAUGUGCUAAACUUACCCUAGCCUCUUCCUUUUAGGCAGCCACCACAGAGGACAUCUGUUUGCCUCUGUACCCUACCCCAUCUCCAUGCUGGUAGAUAUAGUCUGGGGAUACCUUUAAAACAAACAAACAAACAAACAAAACAGGAUCUGUCUAUCACCUGUCCAAAUCCUGAAGCAAAAUGAGCCUUCUUUAUGGCCACCUUGGAAAGGCCUGAGUCCCCAGCAUCACCUGGGAUACAAAGUGUUCUGAGGUGGGGGCAGAGUGCCCUCCUGCCCAGAUGCCACACUCCACAAUAUCUCUUCCUGGCAGACAGGUUUCUCUUAACUUCCUUUGGCAAAUUUGGUUUCACUUCCUUUUGCAACUUUAGAACCUUUCUCAGGUCAGUCAUAAGGUAGUGGAGAAGCCAGGAUUUGAACCCAUUCUGUCUGAUUCCAGAGCUCAUGCAUUAACCACCUGACUGUGGUGCCUCCCCAUCAUAUGUGCAUCAAGUAUGAUCAUUUUUGUAGUUCUCAGAGUACUUAGCACCAUGCACAUCUGUAAUAAGUACAGCCACUGCCUACUGGGAGGUCUAAAGGUUCAACUCAUAAGGGACCCACAGGCCACACUGGGCUCCAGUCUCCUUAAAAGAUGUGGGACGGAGAUCAACAAUUGUCAGCAGAACCCCAUCAGGCAUUUGUCUUCUCACUGAGCCUUGCAGCAAACCACACAGCUGUCUAUAACCUAUCUGUUCCCAGAUUCAAGAACACAAGCUGCUCAUCAGUUGGGUGCAGGAUCCACUCUAGUACAAAAGCUGUGUGUCUCAAGGCAUAAUUCCUUAUGAUUACUUCAUAGCUCUGCUUUUGUCUUGAGACAAAAGAAAUUUCCUUCAAUUCCUACUUUUGCUGAGAUAUUGUUUUUUGAAAAGCAAUUAAAUCUUGUCAAUCACUUUUCCCACCUCUUUGAGAUACUUACAUGGCUUUUCUUCUUUAUUCUCUUAGUGUGGUAAAUUACAUUGAUUUAUUUUAAAUAUGAAACCAGCCUUGAAUUCCAGGAACAAACUCCAUUUGGACAUGCUAGAACAACCUUUUAUAUUUGUUUAGAUUUGAUUUCCUGAAGUGGUGUUAAAAGGUUUUCAUAUCUAUGUCUGUGAGGGAUAUUAAUCUGUACAUUUUUUUAUUACUAUUUUCUGGUGUUAUGGUAAUGCUAGUCUCAUAGAAUGAAUUAGGAAAAGUUGCCUCCUUCUGUAUUUUCUGAGAGUUUGUGUGGCACUGGUAAAAUAUUUUCUGUAUAUGUUUGACAUAAUUCACCAGGAAAAUUAUUUGUACCUACAAGUUCCCUCCUGGAAAGAUGUUGAUAAUCACUUAUUAUCCUUUCAUUGUCUGCCAGAUCUGUGGCAUUGCUUUUUUCUCUGGUAUUAGUAAUUUAAAUUUUCCCUUAUUUCUUGAUCAAUUUUGGCAGAGAUUUAUCAAUUUUAUUAAUCUCUUUUAAAAAUCUGUAUUGAGCUUUGUUAAUUUUCUCUAUUACAUACUUUUUAUUUCUACUCUUACGAUUGCUAUUUCUUUAUUUCUCCUUUGGAUUUAGCCCAUUUUUCUAUUUGUCUAAUUUUAGGAUUUAAAAUUCAAUCAUUAUUUUUAGAUAUUUUUAUUUUUAAAUAUAAACAUGAAAGUUGCAAUAUUACCUUGGGCACUGUUUUGACUGCAUUCCACAAGUUUUUAUUUGUCAUGUUUUAAUCACCAUUCAGUUCAAAAUACUUUCUAAUGCUCCUUGUUAUUUCUUCUUUGACCCAUUGGUUAUAUAAAAGUACGUUUUGCUUUAUUUCUAAAUAUGUGAAGACUUUCUAGAUAUCUCAGUUAUUUAUUACUAAUUUAAUUUUAUUGUAGCCAGAGAAAAUACACUGUAUGUGUUCAAUCUUUGGAAAUUUCUUGAGACUUAUUUUUUGACCCAGUAUGUUUGCCCUCAUGAACAUUCCAUAUUCACUAGAAAAAGAAUGUGUGUUCAAAUAAUGUUGGAUAUAGUGUUAUGCAAAUGCCACUAAAUCAAGAUAAAUCUUUUGCACUCUUGUUUUUUGCCUGCUUGUUCUAACAAUAAGUGAGAAAGAAGUGUUAAUAUCUCCAAUUGUGAUUGUAAUUUGACUGUUAUCCUUUGGUUUGGUCAGUUUUUGCCUGUUGAAAUUCUGCUAUUAAAACAUAAACAUUUAAGAUAUUUAUAUCUUCCCAAGAGAGAUGCUAAAGAAAAGUGUAAAAAACCAAAGCCAUUCUUAUGUACAUCAGAAUAUAUGGACAAAAACUUUCACAGCAACAUCAUUAUCGCAAGUAACUGAAAGCAAUACAAAGGCACAUCAACAAAAGAUUGGACAGAUAAAUUGUUCCUUCAAUGGCAAUGAAAAUGGAUGUUACAGAGAUACAUGGAUACAUGGAACACCCUGAGUGAAUCUUACAUUUAUUUUGCAGAAGAUAUCAAACCAAACAGAGCACAUAUUAUUCCAUUCAUGUAAAGGUCAGUAACAGCCACAUAUAAGCUAUAUUUUGGAGAUUCAUACACAAUAGAAAAAACUAUUUAAAAAGUCAGAUAAUACUGAUUUUAAAAAUCGGGAUGUUGAAUUCAUCUGGGUGUUGAGGGAGGAGCACAUUGUGACCCAGACAGAGCACUCAGGACUCUGAGCACACUAAUACUCUGUAUUGCCUUCAGUGGUAGUUACAUCAGUAUCAACUUAAGAAAAAUUUAUUAAAAUCUACAUAAAUAAUAAAUAAUUUUCUAUAUGUAUGUUAUAUUUCCCAAUGCUAUGAAAUGAAUUGUGUCUCCCCAAAAUGUAUGUGUUGAAGUCCUAGCCCCCAGCACCUCAGAAUGUGACCGCAUUUGGAGAUGGAACCCUUUUUUUUUAUUUUUGAGACACAGUUGCCCAGACUAGAGUGUAGUGGCGUGAUCUCGGCUCACUGACCUCUGCCUCCUGGCUCAAACAAU